Long non-coding RNA from Maniola jurtina (meadow brown), 248 nucleotides. RefSeq lists it as uncharacterized. The transcript has 3 exons. NCBI's taxonomy places the organism in Eukaryota, Metazoa, Arthropoda, Insecta, Lepidoptera, Nymphalidae. The record is from RefSeq and is a predicted model, not a curated record.
UUUUAAAAAUAUAUUUCAUAAUAAUUCUUUAUUACAAUAUAUUAAGUAACUUAAAUAUUAUAUUAGCCAUCAUUAUCAUAGUUAUUUCAAACAUACGCGUAUACACUAUAAAUUAAUCAUCAAGAAAAUAAGCAUACAUAUCGCAAAAAUCAAUUCAGAAUCGUCUUUAGACAUAACACUAAAAUUUCAUUGCGCACAUAAUUUUAAAAAGAAAUUAAAUGUUUAUUUAUAAAUAAUAAAUAGAUAUU